Molecule: unclassified non-coding RNA, 97 nt
Organism: Cavia porcellus (domestic guinea pig)
Lineage: Eukaryota; Metazoa; Chordata; Mammalia; Rodentia; Caviidae
Rfam family: Y RNA
About the family: Y RNAs are components of the Ro ribonucleoprotein particle (Ro RNP), in association with Ro60 and La proteins. The Y RNAs and Ro60 and La proteins are well conserved, but the function of the Ro RNP is not known.
Source: Ensembl
GGCUGGUCCAAUGGCAGUGGGUUAUCAGAACUUAUUAACAUUAGUGUUACUAAAGUUGGUAUACCACCCCCGCACUGCUAAAUCUGACUGGCUUUAA